GACCUCGGAUCAGGCGUGAAUACCCGCUGAACUUAAGCAUAUCACUAAGCGGAGGAAAAGAAACUAACAAGGAUUCCCUUAGUAACGGCGAGUGAACAGGGAAAAGCCCAGCACCGAAGCCUAUGGUCGUUUGGCCAUCAGGCAAUGUGGUGUUUAGGUCGUUCCGCAGACGCACUGCUCCACCCUAAGUCCAAUAAUGAGUACGGUGGUACGGACAUGGCCCAUUGAGGGUGAAAGGCCCGUGGGGGUGGAGAUCAGGCGAGACAGUGCUACUCUGGGAGGACCUUGGAGUCGGGUUGUUUGUGAAUGCAGCCCAAAGUGGGUGGUAAACUCCAUCCAA
RNAcentral lists this ribosomal RNA (340 nucleotides) under Macvicaria obovata. RNAcentral describes it as "eukaryotic LSU rRNA". It matches the Rfam family "Eukaryotic large subunit ribosomal RNA", at positions 1 to 313 of the family's 3401-position model. Lineage: Eukaryota; Metazoa; Platyhelminthes; Trematoda; Plagiorchiida; Opecoelidae. The record is from RNAcentral.